Molecule: long non-coding RNA, 246 nt
Filed under: Vicia faba (fava bean)
Lineage: Eukaryota; Viridiplantae; Streptophyta; Magnoliopsida; Fabales; Fabaceae
Source: RNAcentral
AUGAUUCAACCUCAAACCUAUUUAAAUGUAGCCGAUAAUAGUGGAGCGCGCGAAUUGAUGUGUAUUCGAAUCAUAGGAGCUAGUAAUCGAAGGUAUGCUUAUAUUGGUGACAUUGUUGUUGCUGUAAUCAAAAAAGCAGUGCCAAAUUCAUCUUUAAAAAGAUCUCAAGUCAUCAGAGCUGUAAUUGUACGUACUUGUAAAGAACUAAAACGUCGUAAUGUUUCAUUAGCACCUGAGGUAUUAUAA